RNAcentral lists this ribosomal RNA (378 nucleotides) under uncultured organism. Its description in RNAcentral is "bacterial SSU rRNA". It matches the Rfam family "Bacterial small subunit ribosomal RNA", at positions 526 to 896 of the family's 1533-position model. The record is from RNAcentral.
CAGAGGCCUCAAGCGUUAUCCGGAAUCAUCGGGCGUAAAGCGUUCCGAUAGGUGGUUUUGAAAGUUUUGGGUAAAAGCCAGAAGCUCAACUUCUGUGUUUGCUCAAAAUACUGCAAGACUAGAGGGGCAAAGAGGUGCUUGGAACGAAUGGUGUAGUAGUGAAAUGCGUUGAUAUCAUUCGGAACACCGAAAGCGAAGGCAGAGCACUGGGUGCCACCUGACACUGCUAGGACGAAAGCGUGGGGAGCGAAUGGGAUUAGAUACCCCAGUAGUCCACGUUGUAAACGAUGAAUACUAGGCAUGCGCGAGUAUCGACCCUCGUGCGAGCCGUAGCUAACGCGUUAAGUAUUCCGCCUGGGGAGUACGGUCGCAAGACUA